UGGAGUUGUGCCACCGUGACAUUCUUUGU
This 29-nucleotide non-coding RNA is filed under the name Mus musculus (house mouse). The record is from RNAcentral. Lineage: Eukaryota; Metazoa; Chordata; Mammalia; Rodentia; Muridae.